This is a long non-coding RNA of Temnothorax curvispinosus, 1089 nucleotides long. RefSeq lists it as uncharacterized. NCBI's taxonomy places the organism in Eukaryota, Metazoa, Arthropoda, Insecta, Hymenoptera, Formicidae. The record is from RefSeq and is a predicted model, not a curated record. The transcript has 4 exons.
AAUUAUAUCUCAAAAAAGCCCAGUGGCCGAUAAUAAUUAGCCUACGAUACGUUCGUAGCCGAGGAACCCACAUGACAUUUCAACGUCUCCUUCCCGCGAGACGUUUCGCUGUUAGCGCCCGCUGCUAGCUUUAGCUAUACGAGUUUUCGGGUUACGUUCAUCUGCGGACUUCGAUGACAGCGACGAGUAGUGGCUAUGCUAGAAACUAAAUGCAUCUUCGAUAAGCGACCAUGCCCCCACCACUAGAAUUAGCGGUAGUCUCCAGACCUGUAUGUAUGUAAGACCGUGGUAUGCAGCACCACCGGCAACGUCUGCGUCGGUUGAUCGACACGGCGCGUGCGGUUGCAAGAUCAAUUAAAUAAAAUAAAACAGUCCAAGUCAAGUGGCGCAUUAGUUGAUGAUAUAUAUAAACCAACUUGGUGGUUGUUUGAAGACAUGAGUUUCCUGAAUCCUCACAUUGCUCAAAAAAAAAGGAGAAUCUUCUAUAACAGUUUUGAACUCUCAGUCAGAAUUAUUACAAUGUAAUUUAAAUGAGAAUGAGACUGAAGAUUUACAACUUCUCGAUAUUCAUAAUGUUUUAAAAACAACAGAUAAUAACGCAGAAAACACCUGUCCAAAUAUUCAAUCACAGCCAACAACUAGUAAUUCGAGUUCACCAAGCAGUGCUACAUGAAUAUCUAAAAAAAAAAAAGAAAACUUGCAGUUUCAAAUGAAAUUUGUACAAGUGAAGCAAAUAAUUUUUGGUCAAUAGCUUCCAAAUCGAUUCAGUCCAUAUCAGAAAAUGAAAGAGCAGAAGAUGGUAUAAAACACUGGAUUUUGUAUGUAGAAAGUGAAUUGCGUAAAAUUUCAGACCCAAAGAAACUGAAACGAAUACAGAGAAAAAUGAUGAACUUAAUUGAUGAUGAUUAAUAUAUAGUUUAUUAACUUUAGCAUAACAGCCAGAAAGUGGCUGAUGAUGAUUAAUAGAGAGAUAGAAUAAACGAUUUUGUGCCGGUAUGUUUAAUAUACAUUUAUGUAGCUCAGAUUUUUUAUUAGAUUGUAGUCGGUAAAUUUCGUUCAUUAACUUUUAAUUACGAAUUUUAUUUUUGU